AACGAACGCUGGCGGCAUGCCUAACACAUGCAAGUCGAACGAGACCUCCGGGUCUAGUGGCGCACGGGUGCGUAACGCGUGGGAACCUGCCCUUAGGUUCGGAAUAACUCCCCGAAAGGGGUGCUAAUACCGGAUAAUGUCUUCGGACCUAAGAUUUAUCGCCUUUGGAUGGGCCCGCGUUGGAUUAGCUAGUUGGUAGGGUACAAGCCUACCAUGGCGACGAUCCAUAGCUGGUCUGUGAGGAUGCUCAGCCACACUGGGACUGAGACACGGCCCAGACUCCUACGGGAGGCAGCAGUGGAGAGUAUUAGACAAUGAGCGAAAGCCUGAUCCAGCAGUGCGGGGUAAGUGGGGAAGGGCUUAGGAUAGUAAAGCUCUUUUACCCGAGAUGAUAAUGACAGUACCGGGAGAAUAAGCACCGGCUAACUCCGUG
Molecule: ribosomal RNA, 433 nt
Filed under: uncultured bacterium
Lineage: Bacteria
Description: partial 16S ribosomal RNA
Rfam family: Bacterial small subunit ribosomal RNA
Source: RNAcentral